UUAUUUGGGUGAGCCAACGUGAAGACUGAUGCAAAUCCAUUCCUGAUGAAGAGCUCUAAGUGUAGACACAAGGGGAAAUAAAGAGAUCCAAUCGAGUAGCCUAGGAAUAGUAUUCUCCAUUCGAUUCUUUCUUAUUUAUUUGAAAAUGCUGGUGAUUACUCUAUGUUUUCUACUAUAUGGAAGUAUAAUGAAUGCUUUGUUAAAUGUUAUCUUAUUAAAUCUUAUUUUUAUUAUUUAAUA
This 240-nucleotide long non-coding RNA is filed under the name Gossypium barbadense (sea-island cotton). RNAcentral's name for it is "long non-coding RNA (GBAR_LNC009456)". The record is from RNAcentral. Lineage: Eukaryota; Viridiplantae; Streptophyta; Magnoliopsida; Malvales; Malvaceae.